Molecule: unclassified non-coding RNA, 336 nt
Filed under: soil metagenome
Description: partial contains 5.8S ribosomal RNA, internal transcribed spacer 2, and large subunit ribosomal RNA
Rfam family: 5.8S ribosomal RNA (bases 1-119)
Source: RNAcentral
GAUGAAGAAGCAGCGAAAUGCGAUAAGUAAUGUGAAUUGCAGAAUUCAGUGAAUCAUCGAAUCUUUGAACGCACAUUGCGCCCGCCAGUAUUCUGGCGGGCAUGCCUGUUCGAGCGUCAUUUCAACCAUCAAGCCCCCGGGCUUGUGUUGGGGACCUGCGGCUGCCGCAGGCCCUGAAAAGCAGUGGCGGGCUCGCUGUCACACCGAGCGUAGUAGAUUUUAUCUCGCUCUGGGCGUGCUGCGGGUUCCGGCCGUUAAACCACCCUUUUAACCCAAGGUUGACCUCGGAUCAGGUAGGAAGACCCGCUGAACUUAAGCAUAUCAAUAAGCGGAGGA